GGGUCAGUAGGUUGGUCGUGCCACCGGUACGUACUGGCCUCACUGAUUCCUCCUUCCUGAAGAACCGUAAUGCCAUUAAUUUGGUGUUGCGGGGAAACAGGACUGUUACUUUGAAAAAAUUAGAGUGUUUAAAGCAAGCUAACGCUUGAAUACAUUAGCAUGGAAUAAUGAAAUAGGACGAUCGAUCCUAUUUUGUUUGUUUCUAGGAUUGACGUA
This 216-nucleotide ribosomal RNA is filed under the name Glomeromycotina sp. RNAcentral describes it as "partial small subunit ribosomal RNA". The stretch from base 40 to 216 matches the Rfam family "Eukaryotic small subunit ribosomal RNA", at positions 686 to 864 of the family's 1831-position model. The record is from RNAcentral. Lineage: Eukaryota; Fungi; Glomeromycota.